UUGACCCAUCAUUUGUUCCUUCCCCCAGUUCUGAGCUCCAUCCAGUUCCAGGGCCACGUAGGGAAGGGCCGUGGUACAGUCCCGGACGCCACACCAGUGAGAUAUUUAUAGCUAGUUAGGCCUACUGGAAAGACAGAGGAGGAGCCCGCCCAACCCUUCCAGGGGGCUGCGUCUCCCCCAUCGGCCCAGCAGCCGUGCCGGAGGACAGGGCUGGGGGCCGUGCCGCCGCUGGAGGAGCUGCCUGCGUUCUGCUCCUUUCCCCGCUGGGAACCACCUCUGGCGGGGCUGCUGUACAGACGGAGGAGGCAGGGGCUGGCAGCGGCCGGGAUCCUGCUCCUUUCCCCGCCGCGCUUGCCUGGAGAGCCCUGGGCGGCCGGAGCCGCGGCAGAACACGAGGCCCCGGGGCAGCCCCACGCUGGCGGCUCUACCGGCCCCGGCCCCGCACCCCCGGCCCUGCCCUCUGGCAGGAGGACUCAGGAGACACAGCGGCACGGAAGGGCUGGGGGCGGGGUUGGGGGCAGUACGGUCGCCGCGCUGGAGGAGCAGCCGGCGCGGGGCUGCCGCUGCUGAGUCCUCCUGCCUGGGGUCCGCACAGCAGAAGUUUCCAGCGCAGCGGGGCGGGAGACAGAGUCCCCCUCCCCCCGCAGGUUGCUGUACGUGAAACAUACAUGACACAAAGCUUCAAAAGCAGAAAGACAGAUAGAACAUGAAACCACCUGACCUCUACUCCUUCCAGACAGACGCAUCACUACUAAAUUACCACAUUCCACAGACAACCUACCACAACCUCUAUUACGCUUGCAGUGCCAGCCUUUCAUCGUUCCCUGGCUCAAACUUGGCUGACUGCACAAACCGACCUGGGGCUGAGUAGAUGGACUUGAUUAUAUUUCCAUACUUUAUUUCCCCCCCUUAUAUCUAAAAAUUGUUUUAUUUAUUUACUUGUUACAGCAUAAUAGGAUAAUUUCAUCUUUGGAGUAACUACUGAAUGGAUUUACAGUAGGGACUGAAUUUGACCUAGCACUGCUUCUAUAUAGCCACCCUUUGAACUAAACAUGAAAACCUGGAGAAAUAAAAAUUAAUAUUUUAAGUCAUGUAAAAAUCGUAUUUUCUGUGAAUUAAUUUUUACUGGGAGCAAAGAGGUUUACGUGAUUAUUGCAUAGAGAUGGACCCAGUGUUAUAGUCAGUCUCUGAGAGAGACCAGUGUAUAACGGCCAACAGCCCAGUGGUUACAGUACUGACCGGGGUCAAGACCCACCCCUAGAUCAGGCAGAGCAAGGAUUCCCUGACCACCAGGCUAUUGGCUAUGCUGGAUUCACACUGCUCUAUUUUUUGUAAAAAAAUGUCCAAAGCUCUCAAAUUCAUCCCAAUACAGUACAGGAAAAAAAUGUUGAAAUCUCAAAAAUAUUAAUGGGACAGGAAAACCACUUGCCAUCCAGUUCUAAUUAGGUAUAACACAAACACCCAAGUAGUCAUGUGGGCAUAGUAUGUGUGCGUGUUUUACUAUAUUACAUAUAUAGGAGGAGUAGAUAGAGGGCAAAAGCAGCAUGUAACCAAUACGGUAGGCAAUAGAUUUGGGUCAGCUUGGGUGUCAUCGGUGCACCAUAGCAGGUAGAUAAGGCAAGAGCAUCCAUUUGUGGUAAAAUGUUUCCUUCCCCUUCUCCACAACCUCUGAGCUAAAGUCCUUUCUAGAAGGUGGCCAGGCAAUCUGCUCCCCUCAUGUGGGAAGGCAGCAUCUGCAUGGCAACUCCCCAGUCCAACAAAGCAGGCAGAAGCCCACAGGAGUCAGCACUCCUACUGGCGCCACUGAACUGUCUUUGAAAAUUUAGCAAUACUCUAGGGCAUCCCCAAACCUGAGCCAGCCCCAGACUGCACAGUGGGACCGUAAAACCCUGCAGCAUAUGAGGAUCCUGCUCUCUUUUCCUGCUAGAGCUGCGGACCUCUCAGGAAGGAGACGGGGGGAAUCUUGCACACACUGAGAUUUUACAGUUCUCAAGGGGUCCUGGGGUGAAAACUGCAGCUAAACCCCAACAGUAUCUUUAAAUUUAAAGAUACAGUUCAGCAGGGUUUGCUGGGUCCCAUGGGCCCCAAAUGGGUUUAGGGCUAACUCAAGGUAUAAGGAAUCAAUCCAGCUGGUUUUUACUUUCUCUGAGCCUCUGCACUCAUCACUACCCCUGCCAAAUAUUAGCUCUUGGGAAGAAGUCAGAACCAAACAAAAACUCUAUUAACAGUGCACUCUGCUGUACGUUAUACUCUACAUACCACUUCCAGGCACCUUCUUUGUUACCACUCUCACCCUCCUGCUAUUAUUUUCUCUCUAUUACUGUGAAGUGUUCAACCUUGUAAAGCACUUGGAGAUACAGUGUGUAUGAA
Long non-coding RNA from Caretta caretta (loggerhead turtle), 2370 nucleotides. RefSeq lists it as uncharacterized. The record is from RefSeq and is a predicted model, not a curated record. NCBI's taxonomy places the organism in Eukaryota, Metazoa, Chordata, Testudines, Cheloniidae.